Molecule: ribosomal RNA, 1356 nt
Filed under: uncultured marine eukaryote
Lineage: Eukaryota
Description: SSU rRNA
Rfam family: Eukaryotic small subunit ribosomal RNA
Source: RNAcentral
CACUUCUAAGGAAGGCAGCAGGCGCGCAAAUUACCCAAUCCUGACUCAGGGAGGUAGUGACAAGAAAUAACAAUAAACCGGCUUAUGCCGGUUUAAUAGGAAUGAGUACAAUUUAAACAUCUUAACGAGGAACAAUUGGAGGGCAAGUCUGGUGCCAGCAGCCGCGGUAAUUCCAGCUCCAAUAGCGUAUACUAAAGUUGUUGCAGUUAAAAAGCUCGUAGUUGGAUUUCUGUGGGGACGGAGCGGCCGGCCGCACAUCGCGGUUCGAGCUAGCGCUUUCCCUACAUCCUGCCGCGAACCGUGCUACCAUUAAUUUGGUGGCGCCGGGGAUCGGCUCGAUUACUUUGAGAAAAAUAGAGUGUUCAAAGCAGGCCACAUGCCUUGAAUAAGUUAGCAUGGAAUAAUAACUAAGGACUUCGGUUCUAUUUUGUUGGUGUUCGGGACUGAAGUAAUGAUUGAUAGGGACAGUUGGGGCGGUCUGUAUUCCAAAGCGAGAGGUGAAAUUCUUAGACCUUCGGAAGACAAACAGCUGCGAAAGCGUUCCGCAAGGAUGUUCCCUUUGAUCAAGAACGAAAGUUGGGGGAUCGAAGACGAUCAGAUACCGUCGUAGUCUCAACUAUAAACUAUACCAGCUAGGGAUCGGCCAACGUUAUUUUAUACCGACUUGGUCGGCACCUUAUGAGAAAUCAAAGCAUCUGGGUUCCGGGGGGAGUAUGGUCGCAAGGCUGAAACCUAAAGGAAUUGACGGAAGGGCACCACCAGCCGUGGAGCCUGUGGCUUAAUUUGACUCAACACGGGAAAACUUACCAGGUCCAGACAUAGUAAGGAUUGACAGAUUGAUAGCUCUUUCUUGAUUCUGUGGGUGGUGGUGCAUGGCCGUUCUUAGUUGGUGGAGUGAUUUGUCUGGUUAAUUCCGUUAACGAACGAGACCCCAGCCUGCUAAAUAGCGCGUGUGAGCUUUGCUCGCAGCGAGCUUCUUAGAGGGACUAUGAUGCGCGAUAGCACAUGGAAGUUUGGGGCAAUAACAGGUCUGUGAUGCCCUUAGAUGUUCUGGGCCGCACACGGGCUACACUGGCGCCUGCAACGAGCAUAUCAGCUGGCCCGAGAGGGUCUUGGCUAAUCUUUUGAACCGGCGCCGUGCUUGGGAUUGACCUUUGCAAUUGUUGGUCAUGCAACGAGGAAUGCCUUGUAAACGCGAGUCAUCAGCUCGCAUUGAAUACGUCCCUGCCCUUUGUACACACCGCCCGUCGCUCCUACCGAUGAAUGUUCCGAUGAAAUUUUCGGAGAGCACCUGUGAACUUGGCUCUGCCUUGCGAACGGGAGGCUCAAAGUCACUUAAAUCUGAACAUUUCGAGG